This 366-nucleotide ribosomal RNA is filed under the name uncultured bacterium. Its description in RNAcentral is "bacterial SSU rRNA". It matches the Rfam family "Bacterial small subunit ribosomal RNA", at positions 28 to 359 of the family's 1533-position model. The record is from RNAcentral.
GACGAACGCUGGCGGCGUGCCUAAUACAUGCAAGUCGAACGCACUCUCGUUUAGAUUGAAGGAGCUUGCUCCUGAUUGAUAAACAUUUGAGUGAGUGGCGGACGGGUGAGUAACACGUGGGUAACCUGCCCUAAAGUGGGGGAUAACAUUUGGAAACAGAUGCUAAUACCGCAUAAAACCUAACAACCGCAUGGUGUAGGGUUGAAAGAUGGUUUCGGCUAUCACUUUAGGAUGGACCCGCGGUGCAUUAGUUAGUUGGUGAGGUAAAGGCUCACCAAGACCGUGAUGCAUAGCCGACCUGAGAGGGUAAUCGGCCACACUGGGACUGAGACACGGCCCAGACUCCUACGGGAGGCAGCAGUAGGG